This 509-nucleotide ribosomal RNA is filed under the name uncultured bacterium. RNAcentral describes it as "bacterial SSU rRNA". It matches the Rfam family "Bacterial small subunit ribosomal RNA", at positions 1000 to 1509 of the family's 1533-position model. The record is from RNAcentral.
CCAGAGAUGGAUUGGUGCCUUCGGGAACUCUGAGACAGGUGCUGCAUGGCUGUCGUCAGCUCGUGUUGUGAAAUGUUGGGUUAAGUCCCGCAACGAGCGCAACCCUUAUCCUUUGUUGCCAGCGGUUAGGCCGGGAACUCAAAGGAGACUGCCAGUGAUAAACUGGAGGAAGGUGGGGAUGACGUCAAGUCAUCAUGGCCCUUACGAGUAGGGCUACACACGUGCUACAAUGGCGCAUACAAAGAGAAGCGACCUCGCGAGAGCAAGCGGACCUCAUAAAGUGCGUCGUAGUCCGGAUUGGAGUCUGCAACUCGACUCCAUGAAGUCGGAAUCGCUAGUAAUCGUGGAUCAGAAUGCCACGGUGAAUACGUUCCCGGGCCUUGUACACACCGCCCGUCACACCAUGGGAGUGGGUUGCAAAAGAAGUAGGUAGCUUAACCUUCGGGAGGGCGCUUACCACUUUGUGAUUCAUGACUGGGGUGAAGUCGUAACAAGGUAAGCGUAGUGCU